UUUUAUAAAAAUAACUUUUUGACAUUUAAUGUUGUUUAUUUGAAAUAUCCACUAUUCACCUUGUAGUAUAAAGCAGUAUGAAAGAGUCCAGAUGAAGAUGAUGAUGAAGGUCAUGUUGAUGAAGAUUGUUGUGUGUGUCAGUGAUGAAGUGUUAAACUCACAGCACUAUAAACACUCUCAGAGCACUGAAGCAUCUGAUCAAUAUGCAAACACACUCACAUCAUUUACCUGCAGACAGUCGCUCAUUAACAGACACAAAUCCUUUUCAUAAUAUCAUAUCUUCUAAUAGCAAAUCUGAUAUAAAUUGUAUCAGACCAUUCACUACUGAAUAAAUCGAUUAGACUGACUAUAUGGUCCUGACUCUCUCCUGAGACUGUGAGAAUAUUUUUGACUGUAGUUUGAUAGAAACAUGAUUAAUGUUAAUUCAUUAAUUUGAUGUCAAAUCCGUGGAUGUUGUGCAGGUUUUUACAGACAUGAGGAUCAUCACACGUGUCUCUGUCAAUCACUGAAUCAACUGAGUUUGAUUGUGAGUCACGUCACACUUGAUAUAAAAGUGAAUUUCUUUCAAUAAUUGAGGUUGAUGUUUUAGUAAUAAGACAGAUGAAGUAAAUGCAGGUGAUGUGUGCUGUGAGUGUGUGUUUGUUGGAGACUCAGUUGAUGUGUGUUUGUUCAGUUAGUGAAGCGUUCAGGAGGUUUUUGUUCAGCUGCUCUAUUAGUUUGUAUCACUGUGGUGGACUUUCGGCAGCGGCACCAAACUGGAUGUUGGCAGCGUCACUCGUCCUAAAGUGAGCGUCCUGCCGCCCUCCAGUGCAGAGAUCUCCUCAAAGAAGACAGCGACACUGGUGUGUGUGGCCAGCAAGGGCUUCCGUCAGACUGGAGCCUGAGCUGGAAGGUGGACGGGAGCAGCAGGUCUCAGGAGAGCAGCGCUGGGCUCCUGGAGAAGGACGGUCUGUACAGCUGGAGCAGCAGCCUGACUCUCUCUGAGCAGGAGUGGAUGGAGAGCGUCCUCAGUGAGCUGUGAGGCCACACGGAGCGGUCAGCCUGCGCUCACUGGACACGUGACGAGACAGCAGUGUUCAGAGUAGAUCUGCUGCUCUUCUCACUCAUGUCU
This 1111-nucleotide long non-coding RNA is filed under the name Carassius auratus (goldfish). RNAcentral describes it as "lncRNA (ENSCARG00000016356.1)". The record is from RNAcentral. Lineage: Eukaryota; Metazoa; Chordata; Actinopteri; Cypriniformes; Cyprinidae.